GAUUCUGGCUCAGGAUGAACGCUAGCGAUAGGCUUAACACAUGCAAGUCGAGGGGCAGCACGGUGUAGCAAUACACUGGUGGCGACCGGCGUACGGGUGCGUAACACGUAUGCAACCUACCCGCUAGUUGGGGGAUAACCCGGCGAAAGUCGGACUAAUACCCCAUAUUAUUCUUACCGGGCAUCCGGUAGGUCUGAAAGAUUUAUCGAUUGCGGAUGGGCAUGCGGAUGAUUAGCUAGUAGGUGGGGUAACGGCUCACCUAGGCGACGAUCAUUAGGGGUUCUGAGAGGAAGGUCCCCCACACUGGAACUGAGACACGGUCCAGACUCCUACGGGAGGCAGCAGUGAGGAAUAUUGGUCAAUGGGCGCUAGCCUGAACCAGCCAAGUCGCGUGAAGGAUGACAAGAUCUAUGGUUUGUAAACUUCUUUUGCAGGGGAGUAAAGUGCGACACGCGUGUUGUAUUGCAAGUACCCUGCGAAUAAGCAUCGGCUAACUCCGUGCCAGCAGCCGC
RNAcentral lists this ribosomal RNA (512 nucleotides) under uncultured bacterium. RNAcentral describes it as "bacterial SSU rRNA". It matches the Rfam family "Bacterial small subunit ribosomal RNA", at positions 15 to 518 of the family's 1533-position model. The record is from RNAcentral.